AUUUAUAUUUGCACUGGCUCCAGUCUGCGGUGGGGCUGGAAAGUGUAUUUCAUUCAGGAGGAGUCGGGGGCGGCUGGGCAGCUUCCUGGCAGAGGUGACAUAGGGAUACAUUGGCAGGGUCAUUCCCCCGGAGAGAGGGCUGGAGGCUGGAUGGCACGGAGAGGAAGAGAAACAGGCUAAUACUGCCAGGCCCUGGGGCCCUGCUUCCUGACCGGGUGGGAGACCCUUGAUACACACAACACACACCCCGCCCUCAUACAGCAUGUCACUUCAAGGGAAGGGUAGGGGUUUCCAGCCUUCCGCCAGCGACAGUAAAUCACUCUGCCUUGCACCGUUGUCCACCAGGAAACUAAACCACCCUGCCUUGCACCGUUGUCCACAAGGAAACUAAACCCCCCUGCCUUGCAUCGUUGUCCACCAGGAAACUAAACCACCCAGCCUUGCACCGUUGUCCACCAGGAAACUAAACCCCCCUACCUUGCACCGUUGUCCACCAGGAAACUAAACCACCCAGCCUUGCAUCGUUGUCCACCAGGAAACUAAACCCCCCUGCCUUGCAUCGUUGUCCACCAGGAAACUAAACCACCCUGCCUUGCAUCGUUGUCCACCAG
Molecule: long non-coding RNA, 611 nt
Filed under: Salmo salar (Atlantic salmon)
Lineage: Eukaryota; Metazoa; Chordata; Actinopteri; Salmoniformes; Salmonidae
Description: lncRNA (ENSSSAG00000119721.1)
Source: RNAcentral